Molecule: long non-coding RNA, 502 nt
Filed under: Olea europaea (common olive)
Lineage: Eukaryota; Viridiplantae; Streptophyta; Magnoliopsida; Lamiales; Oleaceae
Description: long non-coding RNA (OEUR_LNC009869)
Source: RNAcentral
CGCUCAUGACCAGUUGCAAUCGGCAUUAUAUUCUCCACUCUUUUCAGUGAAGCCACAUUCCCUAUUCAACACAUUGCAUCUUGCAAAAAUUAAAUCCACAUAAUUCACCGAAAUGAAGCUUACACCGAACUAUAUAUUUUUAAAUGAAAAGAUCAACUUGUAAAAUGAAAUUGAGGAAAAAAAAUAGGGUCAAGAGAAGUACCGGAGGCAGUACUAAUUUGACGAUAGACAGCGGGAAGCGAGGCAUCGUACAACGCCGGAGCAAGGGACGAAACGAUUCGAGUCUGAAAUCGGGCGGGUUUGGGAGGGCAUCGGAUCGGCCCAAGAGUUCGGAGGUGGAUAGAGAGUCUUCCCCACAUGGUUUUCCUCCAGAAUUCCGAUUAGGAAUUGGAAUGCGAUCCGAGGUAGCCUCUGCUUCUGUGAGAAAUGAUAUCUCCUAGUAGCGGAAUUUUUGGGAGAAAAUUUUGACAAACAAUACGCGGCAUUGAAUAAUUGGAAUAUG